Ursus americanus (American black bear) is the source of this 104-nucleotide small nuclear RNA. Lineage: Eukaryota; Metazoa; Chordata; Mammalia; Carnivora; Ursidae. The record is from Ensembl.
GUGUUCAUUUCAGCAGCACAUAAACUAAAAUUAGAAUGAUACAGAGAUUAGCAUGACCCCUGCGCACGGAUUACACACAAAUUUGUGAAGCAUUCCAUAUUUAA